UUCUUGUGUUUAUUCCUCGCUAGUACAUGUACUCGGCGUAGAUUAAGUAGAGGCUAACCAUGUGUAUGUUUGUGUAUGCUUGUGAGGAGAGAAACCCCUAGGUUCCGACGGUGAAGAACCGAAGCCCGUGUGACGAUUAGUAAGUGUUCGGUAGAAGGACCGAACCCAAAACCUUCACUGUGUUCGCGGACGUCGCUUCGAGUUUAGUCAUGGUACGUUAAUUGAUCACGUGCUAUGGAAGACGAGUGGAAUUGAUCUCCAAGUGAUGCUGAUGGACGAAGCUAAAAUGGAUGAAUCAACCAAGUGUCAGGAUGGAAGAUGCUCACCAAGUGGUCGUCAAUUAACAACACUAACAUAGUGUUUAUCCCAGGCAAGCCCCGGUGCAUUUGCCACCUCCUUGUUGUUAUAAAACUUUUAUCACUUAUAUGUUGCAUUAGGUGAUAGGAGUUGAGUGAUGAAACAAUUGAUGCAAUGCCAUUCCUUGGAAUUUGAUUACUAUUCCUUGA
This is a long non-coding RNA of Zea mays, 506 nucleotides long. RefSeq lists it as uncharacterized. The record is from RefSeq and is a predicted model, not a curated record. The transcript has 2 exons. NCBI's taxonomy places the organism in Eukaryota, Viridiplantae, Streptophyta, Magnoliopsida, Poales, Poaceae.